ACGAAGAGGUAUCGUAAUUGAAGAGGUUUGGAAAGACCCACCACAGAAGGUAAUAGUCCUGUAUGUUAAACGAGAAGACUUCAGAUAUGAUCCAGAGUACCACGGGACACGUGAAACCCUGUGGGAAGCAGGAGGGACCACCCUCCAAGGCUAAAUACUACCUAGUGACCGAUAGCGUAUAGUACCGUGAGGGAAAGGUGAAAAGAACCCCGGGAGGGGAGUGAAAUAGAACCUGAAACCCUGCACUUACAAGCUGUGGAAGCACAUUUCUUGUGUGACCGCGUACUUUUUGUAGAACGGGCCAACGAGUUACGUUAAGUAGCAAGGUUAAGCACUUAAGGUGCGGAGCCGUAGC
This 355-nucleotide ribosomal RNA is filed under the name Clostridioides difficile. RNAcentral's name for it is "partial 23S ribosomal RNA". It matches the Rfam family "Bacterial large subunit ribosomal RNA", at positions 316 to 672 of the family's 2925-position model. The record is from RNAcentral. Lineage: Bacteria; Bacillati; Bacillota; Clostridia; Peptostreptococcales; Peptostreptococcaceae.